CCCAAUGAAGGGAAAAAAUCGAACAAGGGAAAAAAUAGAGCAAGGAAAAAGAUUAUACCGUAUCACGGAAUUCCACCCUAAUGUGUGGCACAUUCGUUCUGUG
Molecule: long non-coding RNA, 103 nt
Organism: Cucurbita moschata (crookneck pumpkin)
Lineage: Eukaryota; Viridiplantae; Streptophyta; Magnoliopsida; Cucurbitales; Cucurbitaceae
Exons: 4
Source: RefSeq, a predicted model, not a curated record